RNAcentral lists this ribosomal RNA (189 nucleotides) under uncultured bacterium. RNAcentral's name for it is "partial 16S ribosomal RNA". It matches the Rfam family "Bacterial small subunit ribosomal RNA", at positions 338 to 524 of the family's 1533-position model. The record is from RNAcentral.
CCUACGGGAGGCAGCAGUGAGGAAUAUUGGUCAAUGGGCGGGAGCCUGAACCAGCCAAGCCGCAUGAGGGAAGAAGGUACAGCGUAUCGUAAACCUCUUUUGUCAGGGAACAAAGGCGGGGACUAGUCCCCGGAUGAGGGUACCUGAAGAAAAAGCAUCGGCUAACUCCGUGCCAGCAGCCGCGGUAAU